GGAUAUGAUGAAAUGGCAAUAAUGUUUUGUGACACCCAGUCUGAUCUUCGUGAUUGAUUUGCCAUAUUUUCUGAUCC
Small nucleolar RNA from Arabidopsis thaliana (thale cress), 77 nucleotides. It matches the Rfam family "Small nucleolar RNA snoR4a". The record is from Rfam. NCBI's taxonomy places the organism in Eukaryota, Viridiplantae, Streptophyta, Magnoliopsida, Brassicales, Brassicaceae.